Paramuricea clavata is the source of this 97-nucleotide non-coding RNA. Lineage: Eukaryota; Metazoa; Cnidaria; Anthozoa; Malacalcyonacea; Plexauridae. The record is from the annotation of a GenBank genome assembly.
CAAAGUUGAUCGUGUUUAUGACGUCGAAUAUCGACGUCAUAAACACCAAAGUUGAUCGUGUUUAUGACGUCGAAUAUCGACGUCAUAAACACCUAAG